RNAcentral lists this ribosomal RNA (388 nucleotides) under uncultured bacterium. RNAcentral's name for it is "bacterial SSU rRNA". It matches the Rfam family "Bacterial small subunit ribosomal RNA", at positions 28 to 416 of the family's 1533-position model. The record is from RNAcentral.
GACGAACGCUGGCGGCGUGCCUAACACAUGCAAGUCGAACGGAGUUGCCCUUCGGGACAACUUAGUGGCGAACGGGUGAGUAACGCGUGAGGAACCUGCCUUUCAGUGGGGGACAACAGUUGGAAACGACUGCUAAUACCGCAUAAUGUUAUUUGGGGGCAUCCUCGAAUAACCAAAGAUUUAUUGCUGAAAGAUGGCUUCGCGUCUGAUUAGCUAGAUGGCGGGGUAACGGCCCACCAUGGCGACGAUCAGUAGCCGGUCUGAGAGGAUGAACGGCCACAUUGGGACUGAGAUACGGCCCAGACUCCUACGGGAGGCAGCAGUGGGGAAUAUUGGGGCAAAUGGGGGGAAACCCUGACCCAGCAACGCCGCGUGAAGGAAGAAGGCC